GUUUCUUGUCUGAGGCAAAAUGAAGGGUGUUAGAGACUGGUUGUUUUCUCAAUUAGUAUCCAAGUCAGUGGUUUCAUCAAGACCAUUACUGGGGGGUGACAGUUUCUUUGGUGAGGAAAAUAAAGAGCACAUGGAUGAAGACCAAGAUGAUGAAGCUGCACAAGCAACCAAUGUUGCAGCACCCACUGGCCCUCAUGCAUCAGACUCUUGUGGGAAUUUGGAGAAUCAAGAUGAUUUGUCCCUG
This 244-nucleotide unclassified non-coding RNA is filed under the name Hevea brasiliensis (rubber tree). Lineage: Eukaryota; Viridiplantae; Streptophyta; Magnoliopsida; Malpighiales; Euphorbiaceae. The record is from RNAcentral.